UUCAUCUUAUCAUUAUCAUUGCUGAGUACGUUUAUUUUUUGGUUGCAAAACACAGUGUCUAAAUCAACCAAAUUUUAUUACUGCUAAUAAUGAAGUGAUCAGAUCACAGGCCAAGUUAGGGAUCCUGUAGUUCUAGGAUCAAUGUUCCACCCUGGACAGCUCAGCAGGAAGCUGAAGGAUGUGCAGGACAUCUGGGAAAAAAAGCCACAAGGCUUUGUGGUAUUACAGUGACCUGUCUUGAAUUUGUUAGGGUACAGUCCUGAGAUUAAAAACAUUU
Molecule: long non-coding RNA, 277 nt
Filed under: Bos taurus (domestic cattle)
Lineage: Eukaryota; Metazoa; Chordata; Mammalia; Artiodactyla; Bovidae
Description: long non-coding RNA NONBTAT015792
Source: RNAcentral